CGGACGGGUGAGUAAUGUCUGGGAAACUGCCUGAUGGAGGGGGAUAACUACUGGAAACGGUAGCUAAUACCGCAUAACGUCGCAAGACCAAAGAGGGGGACCUUCGGGCCUCUUGCCAUCGGAUGUGCCCAGAUGAGAUUAGCUAGUAGGUGGGGUAAAGGCUCACCUAGGCGACGAUCCCUAGCUGGUCUGAGAGGAUGACCAGCCACACUGGAACUGAGACACGGUCCAG
This 232-nucleotide ribosomal RNA is filed under the name uncultured bacterium. RNAcentral describes it as "partial 16S ribosomal RNA". It matches the Rfam family "Bacterial small subunit ribosomal RNA", at positions 99 to 334 of the family's 1533-position model. The record is from RNAcentral.